This 301-nucleotide ribosomal RNA is filed under the name uncultured bacterium. Its description in RNAcentral is "partial 16S ribosomal RNA". It matches the Rfam family "Bacterial small subunit ribosomal RNA", at positions 509 to 809 of the family's 1533-position model. The record is from RNAcentral.
CAGUCGCCGCGGGAAUACGGAGGGGGCUAGCGUUGUUCGGAAUUACUGGGCGUAGAGCGCACGUAGGCGGCUUGGUAAGUUAGGGGUGAAAGCCCGGAGCUCAACUCCGGAAUUGCCUUUAAGACUGCCGAGCUAGUAGGUGAGAGAGGUGAGUGGAAUUCCGAGUGUAGAGGUGAAAUUCGUAGAUAUUCGGAAAAACACCAGUGGCGAAGGCGGCUCACUGGCUCAUUCUAGACGCUGAGGUGCGAAAGCGUGGGGAGCAAACAGGAUUAGAUACCCCCGUAGUCCCUGUCUCUUAUAU